GGACCUGUGGCUCAAUGGUAGAGUAUCUGAGUCCGGAUCAGGAGGCUGCAGGUUCGAGUCCUGCCAGGUUCG
This is a transfer RNA of Microsporum canis CBS 113480, 72 nucleotides long. It matches the Rfam family "tRNA". From Rfam's summary of the family: Transfer RNA (tRNA) molecules are approximately 80 nucleotides in length. Their secondary structure includes four short double-helical elements and three loops (D, anti-codon, and T loops). Further hydrogen bonds mediate the characteristic L-shaped molecular structure. tRNAs have two regions of fundamental functional importance: the anti-codon, which is responsible for specific mRNA codon recognition, and the 3' end, to which the tRNAs corresponding amino acid is attached (by aminoacyl-tRNA synthetases). tRNAs cope with the degeneracy of the genetic code in two manners: having more than one tRNA (with a specific anti-codon) for a particular amino acid; and 'wobble' base-pairing, i.e. permitting non-standard base-pairing at the 3rd anti-codon position. The record is from Rfam. Lineage: Eukaryota; Fungi; Ascomycota; Eurotiomycetes; Onygenales; Arthrodermataceae.